AAAGGGAUCAAAAGAAACCUGAGAAGUAUGGGAAAUAGGGUUGUUCAUGUCUGCUGCUAAGAUGUGAAUGUGUUUUUUUUCUAAUUAACAGAACUUAAAAGCAGUGUUUUGUAAUGUCAUCUCUACGGUUGGUGGUGAAAAUGGGACUGUUAAGUCCCAUUUGGAGUGGGUAGUGGGUCAGCAGCAAUGUGUGAGUGCUAUUCUGGAUCUCAUGUUUGUCUCUGCCUUAAAAUAAAUUAAAUCACUCUCUAUUGCUGUUGGCAAGCAGCCAAGAACAGCUGAGCUGCAGUGUUCCCUGUGACAAGCUGUGUGUGCUGUAUGUGUCUGGUUUUGCUCAAUAACUCCUCAGCCAUGGGCUCCAAGACUGAGUGGGGGUGGCUUCUCCAGCCACCAGUAAUGACUGUUUCUCAUGGGAUUACUUCAUUGGACGCUCUGGCUAUGGGAUGCAGCACAGCCUUGUUUGACCACCAUGUUUUUUCAUGUGCGCCUUAUAGGGGUUCCUGUUUUCAUAGUUUCUUCUGCCUUUUUCUACGUCAACUGUAAAGCAGAGAAAUUACAAGAAGAAUCAUGUCUUUCUGUAAGGAAUUUAAAAGAUAUCCUGUAAAAUACUGCUGCAGUUCUCCCAAAAUCUGCCCCUUAGCCUUUGCACCAGAGUCCCAUUUGGAGGUAUCUGUAAGGCAUUUACCAUAUUGCAAAUAAUUCCCCUCUAACACAUGCUGCAUGUCCUUUGCCGGCUCAUGAAAACCGUGUGCUCCAGCUAAAUUUUGGUGGAGGGAGAGGAUCAGGAUCAAAUGCAUUUGGGUAAUGAGUUGUAUGUGCAUUGAAUAUUCUUCUGAUUAUGGUUUUGGAUAAUUGGGGAAAUUUUCAAAGUAAUUAGAAGCCACUAAAGGGACAUGAUGCUGCUUCAUGUAUUAAGCUCUGAUUAACUGAAGUGUGGAAAGUUCACACUGAAAAAAACAGUCAAAAACUUGGGGUACCACUUUCACACUAAUUGAGCCAUUGCAGCACUUGGAGAUUUGUAGCCAAAGAUCAUCUAUUUGUACGGAAACCUCAAUGGCAGAGACUGCCAUCGUACUUGGGAAGUCUCCAGUGUGGCUGCAAUUCUCCCCACUCCUCUGCAUUUGGCUUUUGACUUGGUCCUGCUCCCAGCAGAUUGAUUUUUUCUCACUCUGUGGCCUGUAGGAGCCUUCUCUUGGGUCUGUGAAUCACCCUGACUCCUUCAGCAAGAUCAGUGCCUAGGUCCAGAUCCACUCCUAAAUAGCUGUUGGCAUCAUGAGACCACUAGGCUACAAACACAGCCAGCAGUGCCUGAAUUGAGAUAGUAUUUAGUUGCAGAAUCAUUACAUGGCAUCUGUAAUUAUGCAGAUGUCUGUGUUUUUGUAAUAGUAAUAAUAAAAAGGGUAAAGAAAGUUGGCCUCUGAAUGCUUGUCAAGUGGGAAAGGUUUCUGCCUUGGGAAGUCGCUGUGCUGGGGGCUUUUAGGGGACAGGUAGAUGCAGCAUUUAGGCAUAUGGUGUAGUGAUGGACUUGCAGUGUCAGGUGGAUAGCAAUGUAAAGGUGCUAUGCCUCAGAGCUGGUGGGCUCUGCACUGCGCAUCAGCAUAUAGGGAAAGCAUCAACAAUCCUAAGGAUUAGCUGUGAAACUGUUGUAAUGGGGAGGGAGACAAGGGACACCUUCUCUCAGAAAUAUCUUGAUUGCAUCAGGGAAACUGAAAUGAUGUGAGACAAUUUGGAUUUUGUUGCCAGGGCAUCCCCUGUGCUGCAGUCCCUUGUGAGCUAUGGUUAUCCCCUGCACUAAAAGUCCUAAAUCCUGUCUUGGAGUGGCUACCAUAAGUGUUCUAGGCAGAACAUCAGCAAAGCAUAAGUGCAAUGCUCAUUUCACAUCUGUCCUUAAUUAAUCAUUUCCUAAAUACUAAAGGUACCAUAUCAUUGUGAUUUUCCCUUUUUAAUCUGCUGAGGGAGGCGAUGUGAGUGAUCACGUGUGAUGAUCUGGGAGCAGAAUAUAGUACUGCCAGGUGCAGAACACAGAGAGGGCAUUCCUCUAAAGUGUGCUGCUGGACACCUGCACCAAGCCAUUGCUUUUAGCCUCAGGAAGGCACCUGGUGGAGGCCCCAGAGAAAAGUCCCACAAGAAGGAAAGGCCAGGUGGCAGCACCCCAUGGAUUUGCACGCUGCAACAGCCCUGCUCCGGGCCCUCACAAGGUGGUUUCUGUCCAGCUUUACAUCAGAGCUGUUUCACCCCUUUUAUCAACAUAGCUUGCUAGCCGGUGGGUGGGUAUGGGGUUUGUGUUGUAAGGAAAAGCAGGAAAACUCGAGGGUAUUUUUUUUUCCUUACAAAGCCUUUGAAAAGUCACUGGGGACCCCUAAUGUUCGCCUGCUGCAGAAGCACACGCUUUCAGAGCUGAAGCUGCAGAUGCUACUUCAGGCAUCUGUGGGUUUGGUCACAUUGGUCACUUGAUGGUAAAAGUACCAAAGUACUCUGGGGUGCAAAAAUCCUCAUGCUCUGUUCCGCACCAGGGUAUUAUCCAUUCAUGUGAGCAAUCAUAUAAAGGAAAAAAUAGGUUCAUAAAGUGGGUGGUUUGGCAACAGAAUGCUUUAUAAAAGGCAUUGGGAGAAAUAAUUCUAAGAGGUUUUAGGGAUAUCCUCUAGCCCCAAGAUCAACUCAAUCCCAGAUCUCUGAGCCUCACUCCUUCCAAGAAGGCUGCUAGACCCUUCCCCAGCUCCACAGCAUCUUUGAUUUGGUGACAGGUACCAAACCCAGUCAAAACCUGCAGAAUGUGAUGCUUGCAACAGGAAUGAGCUGCCCUUCUCUCCUUCCCACAUCCAGCCCCAAACCCAAGUAAAUCAGCAAAACCUGCAAUUUCUAAGUGGCUUCUAACGCACUGAAAGUCAAUUAGAGCGAUUAAAACAGAGCUGCUAACCACAGGUCUUCAUCACCGACACCAUGCUGAACGUCUGUUCUGUGCAGUUCCCAAGUAAAUGUGCAGGGAGAGGAAAGGAUUUUUUUUAAAGCAGCCAAAUUGCCUCUAAUUAGCAACACAACUGUAGUCAAAACAUAGUGUGUGGAUAAUAAAUUGAUAUUUGCAUAAUGGAAACACUACCAAAAUGUACUUCAAAUAAGCUGAAUUAUAUUAUAAUUAGAGUUGUGUUUUGGGAAAGAAAAUCCUCCUAAUUACAGCUGUAUAGACAGUGCCAAGGAGGAGAGGGCUGCAGCAGCCAAGGUAUGGGGCACAGCAUGGGGCCUGCAGGAGUGGCUCCAAAGGUAGGGUAGUUGGCCUUUUCUUUCCCUUCCCUUCCCUUCCCUUUUCUUUUUUUCCUGUGUCAGGUAGAACUUCAUGGAGAGGGUGGUCAGGCGUUGGAACAGGCUGCCCAGAGAAGUGUUGGAGUUUCCAUCCCUGGAGCUCUUACCAAAACACUGGAAGGAACUGGAUGACAAGUCACCAGCUGGUUGUAUGAGGCCAUGGGAUCCAGCAAGGCAGUGACUGCAGACUGACCUGGGCAUCCCUAGCAGCAGCACCAUUGCCAGCAAAACGUAUGGCUCUGCAGAGUGAAUGCAGUUUCUGUCAAAUGCAGGCCUUCCCAUGGUAAUUUUAAACUGAGGCCACCUCGAGGAUUAAGGCAGUUUCCAUUAAUUAUAUUAUAUUAAUUAUAUUUCCCAAAAACUGGCAUGGUAAUGGUGAAGUUUUUAAGGAAUGGCAGCUGUUACAUGAAGAUUUUAUUUAUCUUAACCAUAAUACUUUCUAUUAAACCACUGUUAUUCAUAUUACAGGUGACAUCACUCACACACGUCAUGCUGAUUAAUGACAACAAAGCUUUAAUCACAAUCAUCUGUUGCAAAAAAUAAGCAGAGCAUGAAAUAGAUACAGCACAACCACAGCAUCAAACCCUUGGCACAGGUCAGUAUCUGGAUCUAACUUAAUAUCAGGAGACUAAUUGGUAUAAGGUGUGAUCUCCAGCUCGUAAUUGGAUUUCAAUAAAGGUGCAGAAGAAGACAAGGCUGGUGCAGUUAUUCAGGGCAGCUUUCUGCUCUUGAGAAUGUUCUCUAGAAGUUCCUGAGCUUCUCGGAGCCCAUGGGCUGCAGCCACACCAAGGAGUUUUUCCACUUCCCUGAAGGACAUGAAAUCUUCAUCAAGAAAAACUAGGAGUUUUGGGUUGUUCCUAUCUGACUUACCCAGGCUUCUAAUAAAGGACAACUACUACUGGAUCUGAAAGAUUCUAUGAUGUUCAGCGGUCUAAUAUUCAGAGAAUUAUCUGGUUUUUAUUUUGCUUUUCACUGUUAUCUGAGCAUGUAUGUCUGAUUAUUGGUGAUUUUCCUGACCUGACUGAACCGAAGCCGUAUGAUCUGAAACUCUUGAAAUAUAUACUUAUUAUACAAUCAAA
Molecule: long non-coding RNA, 4376 nt
Organism: Lagopus leucura (white-tailed ptarmigan)
Lineage: Eukaryota; Metazoa; Chordata; Aves; Galliformes; Phasianidae
Exons: 2
Source: RefSeq, a predicted model, not a curated record